GACGAACGCUGGCGGCGUGCUUAACACAUGCAAGUCGAGCGGUAAGGCCCUUUCGGGGGUACACGAGCGGCGAACGGGUGAGUAACACGUGGGUGACCUGCCCUCAGCUCUGGGAUAAGCCUGGGAAACCGGGUCUAAUACCGGAUAUGACUCCAUGACGCAUGUUGUGGGGUGGAAAGCCUUGUGCGGCUGAGGAUGGGCCCGCGGCCUAUCAGCUUGUUGGUGGGGUGANGGCCUACCAAGGCGACGACGGGUAGCCGGCCUGAGAGGGCGACCGGCCACACUGGGACUGAGACACGGCCCAGACUCCUACGGGAGGCAGCAGUGGAGAAUCUUGCGCAAUGGGCGAAAGCCUGACGCAGCGACGCCGCGUGAGGGAUGACGGCCUCGG
RNAcentral lists this ribosomal RNA (391 nucleotides) under uncultured bacterium. RNAcentral describes it as "bacterial SSU rRNA". It matches the Rfam family "Bacterial small subunit ribosomal RNA", at positions 28 to 420 of the family's 1533-position model. The record is from RNAcentral.